This 434-nucleotide ribosomal RNA is filed under the name uncultured bacterium. RNAcentral describes it as "partial 16S ribosomal RNA". It matches the Rfam family "Bacterial small subunit ribosomal RNA", at positions 29 to 507 of the family's 1533-position model. The record is from RNAcentral.
AGCGAACGCUGGCGGCAGGCCUAACACAUGCAAGUCGAACGAACCUUUCGGGGUUAGUGGCGGACGGGUGAGUAACACGUGGGAACGUGCCUUUAGGUUCGGAAUAACUCAGGGAAACUUGUGCUAAUACCGAAUGUGCCCUUCGGGGGAAAGAUUUAUCGCCUUUAGAGCGGCCCGCGUCUGAUUAGCUAGUUGGUUGAGGUAAUGGCUCACCAAGGCGACGAUCAGUAGCUGGUCUGAGAGGAUGAUCAGCCACAUUGGGACUGAGACACGGCCCAAAAUCCUACGGGAGGCAGCAGUGGGGAAUCUUGCGCAAUGGGCGAAAGCCUGACGCAGCCAUGCCGCGUGAAUGAUGAAGGUCUUAGGAUUGUAAAAUUCUUUCACCGGGGACGAUAAUGACGGUACCCGGAGAAGAAGCCCCGGCUAACUUCGUG